RNAcentral lists this ribosomal RNA (491 nucleotides) under uncultured bacterium. RNAcentral's name for it is "partial 16S ribosomal RNA". It matches the Rfam family "Bacterial small subunit ribosomal RNA", at positions 29 to 507 of the family's 1533-position model. The record is from RNAcentral.
GUGAACGCUGGCGGUAGGCCUAACACAUGCAAGUCGAACGGCAGCACAGUAAGAGCUUGCUCUUACGGGUGGCGAGUGGCGGACGGGUGAGGAAUACAUCGGAAUCUACUUUUUCGUGGGGGAUAACGUAGGGAAACUUACGCUAAUACCGCAUACGACCUACGGGUGAAAGCAGGGGAUCUUCGGACCUUGCGCGAUUGAAUGAGCCGAUGUCGGAUUAGCUAGUUGGCGGGGUAAAGGCCAACCAAGGCGACGAUCCGUAGCUGGUCUGAGAGGAUGAUCAGCCACACUGGAACUGAGACACGGUCCAGACUCCUACGGGAGGCAGCAGUGGGGAAUAUUGGACAAUGGGCGCAAGCCUGAUCCAGCCAUACCGCGUGGGUGAAGAAGGCCUUCGGGUUGUAAAGCCCUUUUGUUGGGAAAGAAAAGCAGCAGGUUAAUACCCCGCUGUUCUGACGGUACCCAAAGAAUAAGCACCGGCUAACUUCGUG